GAGCGCCUGGGGCCGACCGCCGAGUGUGAGACGCGUACCCGGAUUGGAUGCCCGAGCCCGCGGUGAAUGGGACUCCCUUACCCAUUGGUUCAUUUAACGGUACCACUCGGAGACAGGUGUAAUCUCUAAAGUCCCACACCAAGACAUUCGGUAUUGGAACUUCAUCAUAUGAAUUUCAGCCACUUGACGUUUCCACGUGUCACAGCUCUGACCUCAGCAACUGAAGUCAGAAAGAAGGCAAAGAUUGCAAGGCAGACAAAGCAAGGGUUGAGGCGGGUAGCAAACAGAAGCACAUUGUCAUGGCAAAUAUCUGCCUAGCGUGUAUGCAGAUCUAAGACCAUGGCCUAAAUCACACCAUACCAAGAAGAAACCACUGCCUGUGCACAUGUCAGUGUGCAGUGAUAAUCUUUCUAGAAAGUUCUGGCUUCCUGCCGCGGUCGCUUUACUCCAGGAAAUUGUGACGUCCCGAUUGUUCCUCCAAAGCUUUGAGAACAGCCAGCUCGGGGCCAGGUGGGGCAAGAGCCCAGAAACAGGAGAGCACCUUGCAUUCCCUGGACAAGCUGCGGAGACCUUCUAACAACAGUCCUUCCAAAGGCCGUGGUUCCUCCCUCCUCCCAGACUUGGAAUAAGGAAUACUGGCAUAAUUCUGUUUUUGUUUUUUGUUUGACUCCUUCAGUGCUACUACCUCUGAAAUAUCAAACAUAAAGCUUUUUCCAGAAGGAACUGGCAUUUGCCCUAAGCACAUGAUACUGAUACUGCCUAGGAGGUAAUGUGGAUCCACCCAGAGGAAUUCUGGACGUCUUCAUUUGGAUUCGAUGUUCUAAAGUAUAUCUAUUUACCUGAGCAGAGGGGAAGUCAAGACUUCUGUUAAGCACCACAACUCCAGUGACUCUGCCUGGGGACUGGACAAGAAGCUGAAGCACUCAUCCUUUAUAUUUGUUUACUCAAGUUUUUCAAUGAAAGGCUUUGGCCAUAAAUUCAAAAAACGAAUUCCUUUUAUCCUUCUGCCAUCAUUUUUGUCUAAAUAAAUCUGCGUCUUUAACACUCAA
This 1049-nucleotide long non-coding RNA is filed under the name Mus musculus (house mouse). Its description in RNAcentral is "predicted gene, 34917". The record is from RNAcentral. Lineage: Eukaryota; Metazoa; Chordata; Mammalia; Rodentia; Muridae.